RNAcentral lists this ribosomal RNA (497 nucleotides) under uncultured bacterium. RNAcentral describes it as "partial 16S ribosomal RNA". It matches the Rfam family "Bacterial small subunit ribosomal RNA", at positions 28 to 507 of the family's 1533-position model. The record is from RNAcentral.
GAUGAACGCUGGCGGCGUGCCUAAUACAUGCGAGUCGAGCGAACGGACGAGAAGCUUGCUUCUCUGAUGUUAGCGGCGGACGGGUGAGUAACACGUGGAUAACCUACCUAUAAGACUGGGAUAACUUCGGGAAACCGUAGCUAAUACCGGAUAAUAUUUUGAACCGCAUGGUUCAAAAGCGAAAGACGGUCUUGCUGUCACUUAUAGAUGGAUCCGCGCUGCAUUAGCUAGUUGGUAAGGUAACGGCUUACCAAGGCAACGAUGCAUAGCCGACCUGAGAGGGUGAUCGGCCACACUGGAACUGAGACACGGUCCAGACUCCUACGGGAGGCAGCAGUAGGGAAUCUUCCGCAAUGGGCGAAAGCCUGACGGAGCAACGCCGCGUGAGUGAUGAAGGUCUUCGGAUCGUAAAACUCUGUUAUUAGGGAAGAACAUAUGUGUAAGUAACUGUGCACAUCUUGACGGUACCUAAUCAGAAAGCCACGGCUAACUACGUG